GAUGAACGCUGGCGGCGUGCCUAAUACAUGCAAGUCGAGCGAACGGACGAGAAGCUUGCUUCUCUGAUGUUAGCGGCGGACGGGUGAGUAACACGUGGAUAACCUACCUAUAAGACUGGGAUAACUUCGGGAAACCGGAGCUAAUACCGGAUAAUAUUUUGAACCGCAUGGUUCAAAAGUGAAAGACGGUCUUGCUGUCACUUAUAGAUGGAUCCGCGCUGCAUUAGCUAGUUGGUAAGGUAACGGCUUACCAAGGCAACGAUGCAUAGCCGACCUGAGAGGGUGAUCGGCCACACUGGAACUGAGACACGGUCCAGACUCCUACGGGAGGCAGCAGUAGGGAAUCUUCCGCAAUGGGCGAAAGCCUAACGGGGCAACGCCGCGUGAGUGAUGAAGGUCUUCGGAUCGUAAAACUCUGUUAUUAGGGAAGAACAUAGGUGUAAGUAACUGUGCACAUCUUGACGGUACCUAAUCAGAAAGCCACGGCUAACUACGU
This 496-nucleotide ribosomal RNA is filed under the name uncultured bacterium. Its description in RNAcentral is "partial 16S ribosomal RNA". It matches the Rfam family "Bacterial small subunit ribosomal RNA", at positions 28 to 506 of the family's 1533-position model. The record is from RNAcentral.